CGUUAGCAGCCGAGAAGGCGCCAUCCUUUUCCCCUGCAGGGCCACAGAGACUGGAAGGUGAAACCGAACUGUAGGCGACGCCAGAGCAUCCGUUGCCCACCUGCGGAGCCAAGCGGUCCAUCAAAGCCAAUUUUGAACUUGAAUUCUGUGCGUCUGAUUGCAGAACUGUGGCGCAGUCUCCAAGCUCAGAGCACCCGGAUCUGCGACCCCCUGUGGACAAAGAUCGGCCAUACUAGGGAGACAAGCUCUCUCAUUGAAGACACCUGUUGCAGAGGCCGGACAUGAA
Marmota flaviventris (yellow-bellied marmot) is the source of this 286-nucleotide non-coding RNA. Lineage: Eukaryota; Metazoa; Chordata; Mammalia; Rodentia; Sciuridae. The record is from RefSeq and is a predicted model, not a curated record.